UGCAGUUCUUGGGUGACACACCCUGGAAUCAGGCUCCCUUCUCUCUGGUUCCCGGGUGCAUCACCCAAAAACCAAU
Molecule: non-coding RNA, 76 nt
Organism: Myotis davidii
Lineage: Eukaryota; Metazoa; Chordata; Mammalia; Chiroptera; Vespertilionidae
Source: Rfam